Molecule: ribosomal RNA, 492 nt
Filed under: uncultured bacterium
Lineage: Bacteria
Description: partial 16S ribosomal RNA
Rfam family: Bacterial small subunit ribosomal RNA
Source: RNAcentral
AGUGAACGCUGGCGGUAGGCCUAACACAUGCAAGUCGAACGGCAGCACAGUAAGAGCUUGCUCUUACGGGAGGCGAGUGGCGGACGGGGGAGGAAUACAUCGGAAUCUACUUUUUAGUGGGGGAUAACGUAGGGAAACUUCCGCUAAUACCGCAUACGACCUACGGGUGAAAGCAGGGGAUCUUCGGACCUUGCGCGAUUGAAUGAGCCGAUGUCGGAUUAGCUAGUUGGCGGGGUAAAGGCCCACCUAGGCGACGAUCCGUAGCUGGUCUGAGAGGAUGAUCAGCCACACUGGAACUGAGACACGUUCCAGACUCCUACAGGAGGCAGCAGUGGGGAAUAUUGGACGAUGGACGCAAGCCUGAUCCAGCCAUACCGCGUGGAUGAAGAAGGCCUUCGGGUUGUAAAGCCCUUUUGUUGGGAAAGAAAAGCAGCAGGUUAAUACCCCGCUGUUCUGACGGUACCCACAGAAUAAGCACCGGCUAACUUCGUG